CCUUCCUACGGGAGGCAGCAGUGGGGAAUAUUGGACAAUGGGCGCAAGCCUGAUCCAGCCAUGCCGCGUGUGUGAAGAAGGCCUUAGGGUUGUAAAGCACUUUCAGUGGGGAGAAAGGUAAUUCACUUAAUACGUGAGUUAAUUGAUGUUACCCACAGAAGAAGCACCGGCUAACUCCGUGCCAGCAGCCGCGGUAAUAAGGGCAG
RNAcentral lists this ribosomal RNA (206 nucleotides) under uncultured Cellvibrio sp. RNAcentral's name for it is "partial 16S ribosomal RNA". It matches the Rfam family "Bacterial small subunit ribosomal RNA", at positions 334 to 532 of the family's 1533-position model. Lineage: Bacteria; Pseudomonadati; Pseudomonadota; Gammaproteobacteria; Cellvibrionales; Cellvibrionaceae. The record is from RNAcentral.